This 462-nucleotide ribosomal RNA is filed under the name uncultured bacterium. RNAcentral's name for it is "bacterial SSU rRNA". It matches the Rfam family "Bacterial small subunit ribosomal RNA", at positions 340 to 789 of the family's 1533-position model. The record is from RNAcentral.
UACGGGAGGCGGCAGUGGGGAAUAUUGCACAAUGGGCGAAAGCCUGAUGCAGCUAUGCCGCGUGUAUGAAGAAGGCCUUAGGGUUGUAAAGUACUUUCAUCGGGGAGGAAAAAACAAAACUAAUAAUUUUAUUUCUUGACGUUACCCGAAAAAGAAGCACCGGCUAACUCCGUGCCAGCAGCCGCGGUAAUACGGAGGGUGCUAGCGUUAAUCAGAAUUACUGGGCGUAAAGAGCACGUAGGUGGUUUUUUUAAAGUCAGAUGUGAAAUCCCUGGGCUUUAACCUAGGAACUGCAUUUUGAAACUGAAAUACUAGAGUAUCGUAGAGGGAGGUAGAAUUCUAGGUGUAGCGGUGAAAUGCGUAGAUAUCUGGAGGAAUACCUGUGGCGAAAGCGGCCUCCUAAACGAAUACUGACACUGAGGGUGCGAAAGCGUGGGGAGCAAACAGGGAUUAGAUACCCGU